This 620-nucleotide ribosomal RNA is filed under the name uncultured bacterium. RNAcentral's name for it is "bacterial SSU rRNA". It matches the Rfam family "Bacterial small subunit ribosomal RNA", at positions 202 to 842 of the family's 1533-position model. The record is from RNAcentral.
AAAAACUCCGGUGGUAUGAGAUGGACCCGCGUCUGAUUAGCUGGUUGGCGGGGUAACGGCCCACCAAGGCGACGAUCAGUAGCCGACCUGAGAGGGUGACCGGCCACAUUGGGACUGAGACACGGCCCAAACUCCUACGGGAGGCAGCAGUGGGGAAUAUUGCACAAUGGGGGAAACCCUGAUGCAGCAACGCCGCGUGAGUGAAGAAGUAUUUCGGUAUGUAAAGCUCUAUCAGCAGGGAAGAAAAUGACGGUACCUGAGUAAGAAGCCCCGGCUAACUACGUGCCAGCAGCCGCGGUAAUACGUAGGGGGCAAGCGUUAUCCGGAUUUACUGGGUGUAAAGGGAGCGUAGACGGCGAUGCAAGUCUGAAGUGAAAGCCCGGGGCUCAACCCCGGGACUGCUUUGGAAACUGUAUGGCUGGAGUGCUGGAGAGGCAAGCGGAAUUCCUAGUGUAGCGGUGAAAUGCGUAGAUAUUAGGAAGAACACCAGUGGCGAAGGCGGCUUGCUGGACAGUAACUGACGUUGAGGCUCGAAAGCGUGGGGAGCAAACAGGAUUAGACACCCUGGUAGUCCACGCUGUAAACGAUGAAUGCUAGGUGUUGGGGAGCAAAGCUUCUCG